GACGAACGCUGGCGGCGUGCUUAACACAUGCAAGUCGAACGGAAAGGCCCUGCUUUUGUGGGGUGCUCGAGUGGCGAACGGGUGAGUAACACGUGAGUAACCUGCCCUUGACUUUGGGAUAACUUCAGGAAACUGGGGCUAAUACCGGAUAGGAGCUCCUGCUGCAUGGUGGGGGUUGGAAAGUUUCGGCGGUUGUGGAUGGAUUCGCGGCUUAUCAGCUUGCUGGUGGGGUAGUGGCUUACCAAGGCUUUGACGGAUACCCGGCCUGGGAGGGUGACCGGCGACAAGGGGACUGAGGGACGGCCCAGAGUCCUACGGUAGGCAGCGGGGGGGAGUAUUGCCCAGUGGGCGGAAGCCUGAUGCAGCAGCGCCGCGUGCGGGAUGACGGCCUUCGGGUUGUGAACCGCUUUCGCCUGAGACGAAGCGUGAGUGACGGUAAUGAGUAAAGAAGCACCGGCUAACUACGUG
Molecule: ribosomal RNA, 468 nt
Filed under: uncultured bacterium
Lineage: Bacteria
Description: partial 16S ribosomal RNA
Rfam family: Bacterial small subunit ribosomal RNA
Source: RNAcentral